RNAcentral lists this transfer RNA (82 nucleotides) under Serratia rubidaea. Its description in RNAcentral is "tRNA-Ala(tgc)". Lineage: Bacteria; Pseudomonadati; Pseudomonadota; Gammaproteobacteria; Enterobacterales; Yersiniaceae. The record is from RNAcentral.
GCUGUUAUAGAUCGCACCGUCGUGGGUUUGGUGCGUUUGCAGCGCACUGUGAAAAGAGUCGAUCGACUCGCUUGAACUGCGC